GACGAACGCUGGCGGCGUGCCUAAUACAUGCAAGUUGAGCGAUGAAGAUUGGUGCUUGCCCCAAUUUGAAGAGCAGCGAACGGGUGAGUAACGCGUGGGGAAUCUGCCUUUGAGCGGGGGACAACAUUUGGAAACGAAUGCUAAUACCGCAUAGCAACUUUAAACAUAAGUUUUAAGUUUGAAAGAUGCAAUUGCAUCACUCAAAGAUGAUCCCGCGUUGUAUUAGCUAGUUGGUGAGGUAAAGGCUCACCAAGGCGAUGAUACAUAGCCGACCUGAGAGGGUGAUCGGCCACAUUGGGACUGAGACACGGCCCAAACUCCUACGGGAGGCAGCAGUAGGGAAUCUUCGGCAAUGGACGAAAGUCUGACCGAGCAACGCCGCGUGAGUGAAGAAGGUUUUCGGAUCGUAAAACUCUGUUGGUAGAGAAGAACGUUGGUGAGAGUGGAAAGCUCAUCAAGUGACGGUAACUACCCAGAAAGGGACGGCUAACUACGUG
Molecule: ribosomal RNA, 497 nt
Filed under: uncultured bacterium
Lineage: Bacteria
Description: partial 16S ribosomal RNA
Rfam family: Bacterial small subunit ribosomal RNA
Source: RNAcentral